UCUGAAAACAGCUGAAGUUGCCAUCUUUCAAAACAUAAAUUAAGUCAUUCUCAAUAUUGAAGCAAUACUCAAACAAUAAAGAUAUUCUUAGCAUAAUAAGAUACUAUUUUCACGGAUACUAUAAUCCAACCAUAUGCUGACAUGAAUGCCAACAAACUAUUUAUAGGUGAUCUCUGGAGCAUAUAGAAUAUACACAUGACAUAUUUUGGCAAUGAAUCUUUCUUCCACACAGCCAGGAGUUUGUUUGAGAUUUGAAAAGUGUGAUUGACACAAAAUGAAGAAAAACAGCGCUUUUACAGCUGCACUUCUGUAUGAUAGCUAGGCUGUCUGCCGUGGUAAGC
This is a non-coding RNA of Pelobates cultripes (western spadefoot toad), 341 nucleotides long. NCBI's taxonomy places the organism in Eukaryota, Metazoa, Chordata, Amphibia, Anura, Pelobatidae. The record is from the annotation of a GenBank genome assembly.